RNAcentral lists this microRNA precursor (102 nucleotides) under Marmota monax (woodchuck). The record is from RNAcentral. Lineage: Eukaryota; Metazoa; Chordata; Mammalia; Rodentia; Sciuridae.
AGUGAAAUUUCUAGGUCAUAUUGUAACUCUAUUUUUAACAUUUUGAGAUAAGGCUAUAAUGUUUUCCAAACUGGCUGCAUAAUUUUAUAUCCUAUUAGCAAU